AACGUAGGAGACAAACGUUAUCCGGAGUUACUGGGCGUAAAGGGCGUGUAGGUGGUUUCGUAAGUCUGGCGUGAAAUUUUUCGGCUUAACCGGGAAAGGUCGUCGGAUACUGCGGAACUAGAGGACGGUAGAGGCGUGUGGAAUUCCGGGUGUAGUGGUGAAAUGCGUAGGGAUCCGGAGGAACACCAGUGGCGAAGGCGACACGCUGGGCCGUACCUGACACUGAUGCGCGACAGCAUGGGGAGCAAACAGG
Molecule: ribosomal RNA, 253 nt
Filed under: uncultured bacterium
Lineage: Bacteria
Description: partial 16S ribosomal RNA
Rfam family: Bacterial small subunit ribosomal RNA
Source: RNAcentral